GCAGCAGUGGGGGAUAUUGGACAAUGGGCGGAAGCCUGAUCCAGCGACGCCGCGUGGAGGACGAAGCCCUUCGGGGUGUAAACUCCUUUUGUCGGGAAAAAGGACUGAUGGUACCCGACGAAUAAGCCCCGGCUAACUACGUGCCAGCAGCCGCGGUAAUACGUAGGGGGCGAGCGUUACCCGGAAUCACUGGGCGUAAAGGGUGCGUAGGCGGCCGCGUGUGUCUGGCGUAAAAUACCACGGCUCAACCGUGGGAAUGCGCUGGAAACUACGUGGCUUGGGUGCGGCAGAGGCAGACGGAACUGCUGGUGUAGGGGUGAAAUCCGUAGCUAUCAGCAGGAACGCCGGUGGAGAAGUCGGUCUGCUGGGCCGUAACCGACGCUGAGGCACGAAAGCUAGGGGAGCGAACCGGAUUAGAUACCCGGGUAGUCCUAGCCGUAAACGAUGCUCACUAGGUGUGGGGGCGGAAGUCUCCGUGCUGAAGCUAAACGC
This 492-nucleotide ribosomal RNA is filed under the name uncultured bacterium. RNAcentral's name for it is "bacterial SSU rRNA". It matches the Rfam family "Bacterial small subunit ribosomal RNA", at positions 348 to 858 of the family's 1533-position model. The record is from RNAcentral.